CAAAACACCAUUCAACUGACAGCCUUUCUUUGUGUUUUGAUUGUUAGCUUGUUGCUAAGCUAGCAGUCAUUUCAAAAACGUAGCUGUCAGUUGAAUGGUGUUUUGCGUUAACGUUAGCAUCCAAACAACCAUAGCUAGCUACAACGUUUUUGAAAUGAUUCCCAUCUUCUGUUACUGUUCUCAUGGAUUUGAAAGAUUUCAGUAUGACAGUUACGUCGUAAAUUGUUUAAAUCUGAGCAUGCGACUCACAUCGGGCAGCAACGAUCUUCACAACACGCCAAUAACGCCAACACGCGUGUCCUACAUACGCUGUGGACACAAAAACAGGAAAAUACGGUUACAAAAUACCAAAGUUUCCCUUUUAAAGGACCACGACAUAAAGCUCAGGACGCAUGUUUUAACCCUCGUGUUGUCGUCCCGUCAACCAGGAAAAAAAUAACCCAGUUUUGUCACUUUUUUCCAACAUUAUUAUCGCGUUUUCUGACAUUUUUGUCACGUUUUUCAACGUAGUGGGUGCUUUUUUGACAUUUUUAAUGUUGACGUUUUUUUAUUGUGACACAAUUUAUUUUUGUUUUUUUUACUGAAAACGAGUCGAAUUUCCCCCGAGGACAAGGCGAGGGUUAACAGGUGGUUAGGCCUAAUUCUCUCGUGGUAACUCGGCGCCAAACCCGUCGUAUUUAACCGUCGGUUCAACUCCGGGAUCUGGUUUCUGUUUGUGGAGCUUUUUUUUUUUUUUUUUUUUUUUUUUUUACGAUGUUUUGUACUGUACCUGUCGAUAAGAGAAGAAUAAUCACUAUAGCGGAUUUAUUUUUGUAUGAAUUAGGAAAUAGGAUUACGGUCCGAUCACUGUAGUAUCUUCCUGGGUCGCACCCGGUGCACGCGGCCGGCGGCUCGAUGCCGGGAGACCUUUCUUCACGACUUUGGGACGUUUCGUCCAUUCUGGCGGGUAUUUCUUUAAAAAGCUGGAGACUUUUCUGGGACAUCGGAGGAAGGACGGAGACGUUUAUCCCGUGGGACGUCCAGAGAAAAGUGCUUUCAGGUGUCAGUACCUCUAAGUCACAUGGUUUAUUUUUUACAUUUGGCUGUAACUGAUGUAUAUGUACAACUUCUUUGGGAUUUUUCAGUUAAUUUGGAUCUUAACGACCUGUUUUUGUGCCAUGUGUUGUUGUUUUUUGUUUUGUUUUUGAGUCAUUUUGCUCGCUGUGAAAGAAUAAAGGCCCGUGUGGGUCUAUGUGGGAAAGAGAUUUUAAUCAAAAUGUAAUUAUAAAACUGUUAAAAUCAAGUUCACUUAACCCUCGUGUUUUGAGUCAGUGGAGUUACUGAUUUUGAACUGAUGUAUUAUUGUAUUCUCCCGCCUGGGAUGCAGGAAAAUACAGAUUUAUUUCACAAAAGGAGGAUUUGU
This is a long non-coding RNA of Etheostoma spectabile (orangethroat darter), 1402 nucleotides long. RefSeq lists it as uncharacterized. NCBI's taxonomy places the organism in Eukaryota, Metazoa, Chordata, Actinopteri, Perciformes, Percidae. The record is from RefSeq and is a predicted model, not a curated record. The transcript has 2 exons.